RNAcentral lists this ribosomal RNA (496 nucleotides) under uncultured bacterium. RNAcentral describes it as "partial 16S ribosomal RNA". It matches the Rfam family "Bacterial small subunit ribosomal RNA", at positions 28 to 506 of the family's 1533-position model. The record is from RNAcentral.
GAUGAACGCUGGCGGCGUGCCUAAUACAUGCAAGUCGAGCGAACAGACGAGGAGCUUGCUCCUCUGACGUUAGCGGCGGACGGGUGAGUAACACGUGGAUAACCUACCUAUAAGACUGGGAUAACUUCGGGAAACCGGAGCUAAUACCGGAUAAUAUAUUGAACCGCAUGGUUCAAUAGUGAAAUACGGUUUUGCUGUCACUUAUAGAUGGAUCCGCGCCGCAUUAGCUAGUUGGUAAGGUAACGGCUUACCAAGGCAACGAUGCGUAGCCGACCUGAGAGGGUGAUCGGCCACACUGGAACUGAGACACGGUCCAGACUCCUACGGGAGGCAGCAGUAGGGAAUCUUCCGCAAUGGGCGAAAGCCUGACGGAGCAACGCCGCGUGAGUGAUGAAGGUCUUCGGAUCGUAAAACUCUGUUAUUAGGGAAGAACAAAUGUGUAAGUAACGAUGCACGUCUUGACGGUACCUAAUCAGAAAGCCACGGCUAACUACGU